GUUAAGGUGGCAGAUCAGUGCAUAGGAUUUAAGUUCCUGUUAGGGAAUGUGUUUAUUCUUCUUAAUA
This 67-nucleotide transfer RNA is filed under the name Mastigoteuthis agassizii. RNAcentral's name for it is "tRNA-Leu". Lineage: Eukaryota; Metazoa; Mollusca; Cephalopoda; Oegopsida; Mastigoteuthidae. The record is from RNAcentral.